Molecule: ribosomal RNA, 1216 nt
Filed under: human gut metagenome
Description: bacterial SSU rRNA
Rfam family: Bacterial small subunit ribosomal RNA
Source: RNAcentral
CGCACGGGUGAGUAACGCGUAUCCAACCUGCCCUUUACUCGGGGAUAGCCUUCUGAAAGGAAGUUUAAUACCCGAUGAAUUCGUUUAGUCGCAUGGCUUGAUGAAGAAAGAUUUAUCGGUAAAGGAUGGGGAUGCGUCCCAUUAGCUUGUUGGCGGGGUAACGGCCCACCAAGGCGACGAUGGGUAGGGGUUCUGAGAGGAAGGUCCCCCACAUUGGAACUGAGACACGGUCCAAACUCCUACGGGAGGCAGCAGUGAGGAAUAUUGGUCAAUGGGCGCGAGCCUGAACCAGCCAAGUAGCGUGGAGGACGACGGCCCUACGGGUUGUAAACUCCUUUUAUAAGGGGAUAAAGUUGGCCAUGUAUGGCCAUUUGCAGGUACCUUAUGAAUAAGCAUCGGCUAAUUCCGUGCCAGCAGCCGCGGUAAUACGGAAGAUGCGAGCGUUAUCCGGAUUUAUUGGGUUUAAAGGGAGCGUAGGCGGGCAGUCAAGUCAGCGGUCAAAUGGCGCGGCUCAACCGCGAAAUUCCGCCGUUGAAACUGGCAGCCUUGAGUAUGCACAGGGUACAUGGAAUUCGUGGUGUAGCGGUGAAAUGCUUAGAUAUCACGAGGAACUCCGAUCGCGCAGGCAUUGUACCGGGGCAUUACUGACGCUGAGGCUCGAAGGUGCGGGUAUCAAACAGGAUUAGAUACCCUGGUAGUCCGCACAGUAAACGAUGAAUGCCCGCUGUCGGCGACAUAGGUCGGCGGCCAAGCGAAAGCGUUAAGCAUUCCACCUGGGGAGUACGCCGGCAACGGUGAAACUCAAAGGAAUUGACGGGGGCCCGCACAAGCGGAGGAACAUGUGGUUUAAUUCGAUGAUACGCGAGGAACCUUACCCGGGCUUGAAUCGCAGGUGCAUGGGCCGGAGACGGCCCUUUCCUUCGGGACUCCUGCGAAGGUGCUGCAUGGUUGUCGUCAGCUCGUGCCGUGAGGUGUCGGCUUAAGUGCCAUAACGAGCGCAACCCCCCUCCCCAGUUGCCACCGGGUAAUGCCGGGCACUUUGGGGACACUGCCACCGCAAGGUGCGAGGAAGGUGGGGAUGACGUCAAAUCAGCACGGCCCUUACGUCCGGGGCGACACACGUGUUACAAUGGGGGGUACAGAGGGCCGCUGCCCGGUGACGGUUGGCCAAUCCCUAAAACCUCUCUCAGUUCGGACUGGAGUCUGCAACCCGACU